UGGAGAGUUUGAUCCUGGCUCAGAACGAACGUUGGCGGCGUGGAUUAGGCAUGCAAGUCGAGCGGGAUUAGCUUUUUUCAAUUCUUCGGAAAAGAAAGCUGCUAUGAAAGCGGCGAACGGGUGAGUAAUAUAUGGGUAAUUUACCUCUAAGUUCGGGAUAGCCAUCGGAAACGAUGAUUAAUACCGGAUGUGAUCGACCUCCGCAUGGAGGUUUCUUUAAAGGUGGGGAUUCUUCGGAACCUACCGCUUGGAGAUGAGCCCAUAUCCUAUCAGCUUGUUGGUGAGGUAACGGCUCACCAAGGCUUACGGGUAGCUGGUCUGAGAGGAUGGUCAGCCACACUGGGACUGAGACACUGCCCAGACUCCUACGGGAGGCUGCAGUCGAGGAUCGUUUGCAAUGCGCGAAAGCGUGACAAUGCGACGCUGCGUGGAGGAUGAAGGCUUUCGGGUUGUAAACUCCUGUCAUGAGGGAAAAGACGCAUGAAUAGUAAUACUAUUUAUGCCCGAUGGUACCUCAAGAGGAAGCGACGGCUAACUCUGUGCCAGCAGCCGCGGUAAUACAGAGGUGGCGAACGUUGUUCGGAUUUACUGGGCGUAAAGGGUCCGCAGGCGGUUCGAUGUGUCAGAUGUGAAAGCCCACAGCUUAACUGUGGAAUUGCAUUUGAAACUGCCGAGCUAGAGUACUGGAGGGGAGAAGGGAACACUUGGUGUAGCGGUUAAAUGCGUAGAUAUCAAGUGGAACAC
RNAcentral lists this ribosomal RNA (744 nucleotides) under Kiritimatiellales bacterium. RNAcentral describes it as "bacterial SSU rRNA". It matches the Rfam family "Bacterial small subunit ribosomal RNA", at positions 1 to 709 of the family's 1533-position model. Lineage: Bacteria; Pseudomonadati; Kiritimatiellota; Kiritimatiellia; Kiritimatiellales. The record is from RNAcentral.